Molecule: small nucleolar RNA, 102 nt
Organism: Ricinus communis (castor bean)
Lineage: Eukaryota; Viridiplantae; Streptophyta; Magnoliopsida; Malpighiales; Euphorbiaceae
Source: RefSeq, a predicted model, not a curated record
AAAAUACAAAGAUUGACAUUGCAAGUUCUUAAACCGCUCCCAUGCUUCAUACAAAGAUUCACUAUGGUGUUGAGUGAAACUCGUAAUCUCUUGUCUAAAUUU